RNAcentral lists this ribosomal RNA (253 nucleotides) under uncultured bacterium. RNAcentral's name for it is "partial 16S ribosomal RNA". It matches the Rfam family "Bacterial small subunit ribosomal RNA", at positions 524 to 776 of the family's 1533-position model. The record is from RNAcentral.
UACGUAGGGACCGAGCGUUGUCCGGAAUCAUUGGGCGUAAAGAGCGUGUAGGCGGCUUGUUAAGUCUUGCGUGAAAUCUCGGGGCUCAACCCCGAGCGGUCGUGAGAAACUGGCAGGCUAGAGUGCGGGAGAGGAGAGUGGAAUUCCUGGUGUAGCGGUGAAAUGCGCAGAUAUCAGGAAGAACACCCGUGGCGAAGGCGGCUCUCUGGAACGCAACUGACGCUGAGACGCGAAAGCGUGGGGAGCAAACGGG